Molecule: ribosomal RNA, 645 nt
Filed under: Lunella correensis
Lineage: Eukaryota; Metazoa; Mollusca; Gastropoda; Trochida; Turbinidae
Description: partial 12S ribosomal RNA
Source: RNAcentral
GACAAACAAGGCCAAAUUAAGACAAGUACAGUAAAAAAGGGGGUUAGGGAAUUAAUGGUAAAUACAUGUUACCAACUUUAUAAAAAAGAUUAUGUCUUCUGUAGAGGUGGAAUUUGUGCAGAAUAAACAACCUCUUACUUUUUUUUAUCCUGAGGCCCCGAAAUCUUAAUUAAAAACCGGGAUUAGAUACCCCGUUAUUUAAGGUGUAAAUUUUAAUUUCAAAAUAUUUACUUGAGUAUUACGAGUUCUAUAACUUAAUGUAGAGAUAACUUAAAACUCAAAAAACUUGGCGGUGCCUUAAAUCCUUUCAGGGGAACCUGUCCUAUAAUCGAUAGUCCACGAUUCACCUUUCCUUUUUUUGAAUAACUCAGUCUGUAUACCGUCGUCGCCAGAUUACCUCUAAGAGUAAAGAAGUUAUCUAAAGGAAAAUCAUAAAGAUAGGACCCAAUUUUACAUCAUAAAAAUCAACUAGUUUUAUGUUUUCUGAACGUCAGAUCAAGGUGCAGCUUAUAAAAAGGAAGAGAUGGGUUACAAUAAAUAAUUAUUAUUUACGGAUUUCUUUUUGUAAAAUAAAAGUUUAAAGGAGGACUUGAAAGUAAUUAACGAGAAGUAGAGAGUCUCGGUGAAAAUGGCCCUAAGGCGUGC